GACGAACGCUGGCGGCGUGCUUAACACAUGCAAGUCGAACGGAAAGGCCCUGCUUUUGUGGGGUGCUCGAGUGGCGAACGGGUGAGUAACACGUGAGUAACCUGCCCUUGACUUUGGGAUAACUUCAGGAAACUGGGGCUAAUACCGGAUAGGAGCUCCUGCUGCAUGGUGGGGGUUGGAAAGUUUCGGCGGUUUGGGAUGGACUCGCGGCUUAUCAGCUUGUUGGUGGGGUAGUGGCUUACCAAGGCUUUGACGGGUAGCCGGCCUGAGAGGGUGACCGGCCACCUUGGGACUGGGGUACGGCCCAGACUCCUACGGGAGGCAGCAGUGGGGAAUAUUGCACAGUGGGCGGAAGCCUGAUGCAGCAGCGCCGCGUGCGGGAUGACGGCCUUCGGGUUGUAAACCGCUUUCGCCUGUGACGAAGCGUGAGUGACGGUAAUGGGUAAAGAAGCACCGGCUAACUACGUG
This 468-nucleotide ribosomal RNA is filed under the name uncultured bacterium. RNAcentral's name for it is "partial 16S ribosomal RNA". It matches the Rfam family "Bacterial small subunit ribosomal RNA", at positions 28 to 507 of the family's 1533-position model. The record is from RNAcentral.